Panthera uncia (snow leopard) is the source of this 1368-nucleotide non-coding RNA. NCBI's taxonomy places the organism in Eukaryota, Metazoa, Chordata, Mammalia, Carnivora, Felidae. The record is from the annotation of a RefSeq genome assembly.
CCCAUGUCUGUCUUCCAGCCUCCGGAGAAGCGCUGCAUGUGUUCCCCUUGGUCUCGGAGUGUCAAGCCCUGAAAGAAGGCGACUCCAUAGUCCUGGCCUGCUUGGCAAGAGGAUACUCCCGAGAGUCAGUACAGGUGACCUCGGUUUCGGGGGAAGCAGGACCAGGACACAAAGACCAAUCUCUUCAUGCCGAAGGCACAAGACAACAUUGAGCUGUCCUUCCUGACUGCCCAGUGGAAGCCAGACCCCCACCAGUGCAGCACCGCCAGCGGCAAGCUGCAGAAGGCCUUCCGGUGGCCAGCAUCUUGGGAAACUAAGACCCCCCUGUCGACUCUUGGGCCAACCCCAUCAGAGGACUCCACCACAGUGCCCAGCACUGCCAGGGUCUCAGUGCCUUCCACCAGCCACACCCAGGCACAAACCAGAGAGCCGGAAAGGACAGCGGACGCCAGUCUCAGAGGUCAGUGCCCUGGGGCACAGAGCGGGGAAGAAGGGGAAGAACAGAUUUGGGAGCCCCGGGGACAGCCCAGCUCGGGAGCAAGCCCCCAGGCCGGUGGCGGGAGGCCAGGAGGCGAAAAAAGCCGGGUCUGCACCAGGGAGAGCUAGGCAGAAUCAGAGAGGGCAUGUCACACUGCCCACAGCACCACCCCCAGGCCGGGUCUGCGCGCCCCAGUGCCCCCAGUGACCGAGGCCACUGUCCUCUGGCAGAGUGUCGGAACCACACCAGCCCUCCCGGCCUCUACCUGCCACAGCCUCCCCUGCAGGGCCCAUGGCUCAAGGGACAGGCCACCUUCACCUGCCUGGCAGUGGGGGCUGGCCUUCAGGAGUCCCGCUUGUCCUGGGAGGUGGCCGGGGUGCCCCUGCACGCGGGUGUGGACAGUGGGCCGCUGGAGGAGAAUGCCAAUGGUUCCCAGAGCCUGAGAAGCCGCCUGGACUUGCGCGUGGCCUCCUGGGCCUCGGGGGCCAACAUCACCUGCACGCUGAGCGGCCCGGGCGUGGCUUCCCAAGUGGUGUCCGCAGCUCCCAAGGAACACGCUGCCUCUGCGCCCAGCAGCCUCACAGUCCACGUCCUGACUGUGUCCAGAGCAGCCUCCUGGCUCCUGUGCAAAGUGUCCGGCUUCUCGCCCCCAGACGUCCUCCUCACCUGGCUAAGGGACCAGGUCCAGGUAGACUCUGCUUCCUUUGCCACUGCACCCCCCCACAGCCGAGCUGGGGAGCAGCACCUUCGAGACCUGGAGAGUCCUGCACAUCCGCAUGGCCCAGGCCCCUCGCCCGGACACCUACACGUGUGUGGUCCGGCACGAGGCCUCCCGAAGGUUGCUCAACGCCAACCGGAGCCCAGAGACGGCCAGCCAUGUGCUGGACUAG